UACGUAGGGGGCAAGCGUUGUCCGGAUUUAUUGGGCGUAAAGAGCGUGUAGGCGGCCAGGCAGGUCAGCUGUGAAAACUCGAGGCUCAACCUCGAGACGCCGGUUGAAACCAUCUGGCUAGAGUCCGGAAGAGGAGAGUGGAAUUCCUGGUGCAGCGGUGAGAUGCGCAGAUAUCAGGAAGAACACCCGUGGCUAAGGCGGCUCUCUAGUACGGUACUGACGCUGAGACGCGAAAGCGUGGGGAGCGAACAGG
This 253-nucleotide ribosomal RNA is filed under the name uncultured bacterium. RNAcentral's name for it is "partial 16S ribosomal RNA". It matches the Rfam family "Bacterial small subunit ribosomal RNA", at positions 524 to 776 of the family's 1533-position model. The record is from RNAcentral.